UACAGAGGUCUCAAGCGUUGUUCGGAUUCAUUGGGCGUAAAGGGUGCGUAGGUGGUGAUGCAAGUCUGGUGUGAAAUCUCGGAGCUUAACUCCGAAAUUGCACCGGAUACUGCGUUGCUCGAGGACUGUAGAGGAGAUCGGAAUUCACGGUGUAGCAGUGAAAUGCGUAGAUAUCGUGAGGAAGACCAGUUGCGAAGGCGAUUCUCUGGGCAAUUCCUGACACUGAGGCACGAAGGCCAGGGGAGCAAACGGG
Molecule: ribosomal RNA, 253 nt
Filed under: uncultured bacterium
Lineage: Bacteria
Description: partial 16S ribosomal RNA
Rfam family: Bacterial small subunit ribosomal RNA
Source: RNAcentral